Molecule: ribosomal RNA, 252 nt
Filed under: uncultured Lactobacillus sp.
Lineage: Bacteria; Bacillati; Bacillota; Bacilli; Lactobacillales; Lactobacillaceae
Description: partial 16S ribosomal RNA
Rfam family: Bacterial small subunit ribosomal RNA
Source: RNAcentral
UAACACGUGGGGAACCUGCCCCAUAGUCUGGGAUACCACUUGGAAACAGGUGCUAAUACCGGAUAAGAAAGCGGAUCGCAUGAUCAGCUUUUAAAAGGCGGCGUAAGCUGUCGCUAUGGGAUGGCCCCGCGGUGCAUUAGCUAGUUGGUAAGGUAAAGGCUUACCAAGGCGAUGAUGCAUAGCCGAGUUGAGAGACUGAUCGGCCACAUUGGGACUGAGACACGGCCCAAACUCCUACGGGAGGCAGCAGUA